Aotus nancymaae (Ma's night monkey) is the source of this 289-nucleotide unclassified non-coding RNA. It matches the Rfam family "Metazoan signal recognition particle RNA". Rfam says of the family: The signal recognition particle (SRP) is a universally conserved ribonucleoprotein. It is involved in the co-translational targeting of proteins to membranes. The eukaryotic SRP consists of a 300-nucleotide 7S RNA and six proteins: SRPs 72, 68, 54, 19, 14, and 9. Lineage: Eukaryota; Metazoa; Chordata; Mammalia; Primates; Aotidae. The record is from Ensembl.
GCCAGGCAUGCAUGUGUGGUCCCAGCUACUCUGGAGGCUGAGGUAGGAAGAUCCUUGAGCCCAGGAGUUCUGGGCUGUAGUGCGCUAUGCCGAUCAGGUGUCUUCAUGAAGGUUGGCAUCAAUACGGUGAGCUCCUAGGAGCAUGGGACCACCAGGUUGCCUAAGGAGGGGUGAGCUGGCCCAGGUCAGAAACGGAGAAGGUCAAAACUCCCAUGCUGAUCAGUAGUGAGAUUGCGCCUGUGAAAAGCCACUGCACUCCAGCCUAGGCAACAUAGCGAGAACCAACUCA